AAGUUUUGGGGAAUCAUCCAAUAUACCACCAUAUAUUCCAGAUUCAGGUUUCCACGUCAUUCUCUUCUAAAAGAAAUCAAGGCUCCAUGGACAGUGUCUAUAUCAUGGACUUCUUGUUGCCUUCAGAAAGUAAGGCCUUCAUUGGAAGAAAAUGCAAUAGAACUAAGACAAGAAAGUUAGCUAAAGAAAAGGUUCUGGUAGCCAAAUAAUUAAAAGGGAACAUCCUUCUGUAUCAGAAAUUCCCAUGUUUCCAUAUCCAGAUUUCUUCACCAAGGCAGAUAAAGAGUUGGCAAAAAUCAUUGACCAUCACACAGAAGCAACAUGCUGUGCAAAAUUAUACAUCAUGUUACAGCAGCUGAGAAGUCAACAUAUAUCACUAUCAAUGCUGCCUCUGUAAGGCACUCACAAGAGAAUAUUUCAAUUACUCUCUUGGCCACUCCUCAUCACCCAUCAUACGAUCCUAUCUACUUUAUCAUUUUCCUUAGUGCCCAUAAAAAGACAUGCUGAAGGUGUAAAGAGAAUGCAAGAGAGAUCAAUAGCCUCUGAUGUGUUGGACUCAGCUCAGAUUUUCUCAUGCAAAAGAUCUGAUUUUCAGCUGGACUGCAACACCAUGCCAAGAUUAAACUUUCCACUCCUUAACUCACCCACAUGUGUUCAUGUCUUCAAUCCUCUUGGCACUAGAUGAUGAACCCUGGGUAUUUACCCCAGACAGUGAUGCCACUUCACAAGGAAACAGAUGUUAAAGCUCUUCUCAGAGAAUGUUCCAAGAGUAAAGCUGGUGAUGGAUAGCCAAACAUUAAUCAGCGAAAAGGAGUUUGACCUAUAGAGCCAAGGAAAAGUUGGACAAAGAACAUGAAAAGGACAAGAUGCAAAUCCAAUCCAGUGAAUGGGAGCUCAAUGAGAAUCUUAAAAUGACCACACUUCUGUGUCCUACAGGCCUGGAGAUCUGGGAGCAAAACAGAAAGUACCAGACAACUGAGAGGAGAGAGAGUGCUAUAAUAAAGUAUAAAGUGAGAGGCAUGCAACUCUCCUUUCAAGUGGAAUUUAUUCCUUCCUUCACCCUCUUGCAUAUGAGCUGGCCUAGGACUCCUUUGACCAUUAAAUUCAGUGGAAAUGCUAUCGUGCCAGUUUGGGGCCUAGACUUUAACAAAACUAGCAGUUUCUGCUUUCUUCCUCUUGGAAUCCAGUCCCUGUGCUGUGAGGAAGCCCAAACAACCACAUGGAAAAGUCCAUAGGAAGAAGAAUCAAGGCCUGUAGACAGCAGCCCCAACUGAGCUACUAGCUGGCAGCCAUCAACAAUUUGUUUGCCACUGAAGACAAGAACUUGAUGAUUCAUAAAGCUUUGUGAAGUGUGGUUACUGCAAGACUUGGAGUAGUUUGAAAGAAACUUGUGACUUCUAAAAGCGGCUGAGAGAAAGGAGGAAAUAGCUAAUGCAACAAACCUUCCUCUCACAAAAGGAAGCCAUUUACAUAACUCUGAGCUUCUGAAGGAAGACACAAAGUGAGAUGAAUGAAUUUAAAAUUUCCUCAACUUGCUGUCAAGCAAGGAGCUGUAAGCAAAGCCAAGGAUCUUAGUUUUCAUUCCUGUUUAUACUUCUGGCUUAUUAAAACAUCCAUGAGCAACCA
RNAcentral lists this small RNA (1626 nucleotides) under Pongo abelii (Sumatran orangutan). RNAcentral's name for it is "processed transcript". Lineage: Eukaryota; Metazoa; Chordata; Mammalia; Primates; Hominidae. The record is from RNAcentral.